Molecule: ribosomal RNA, 492 nt
Filed under: uncultured bacterium
Lineage: Bacteria
Description: partial 16S ribosomal RNA
Rfam family: Bacterial small subunit ribosomal RNA
Source: RNAcentral
AUUGAACGCUGGCGGCAUGCUUUACACAUGCAAGUCGAACGGUAACAGGCCUUCGGGUGCUGACGAGUGGCGAACGGGUGAGUAAUGCAUCGGAACGUACCCAGAGGUGGGGGAUAACGCAGCGAAAGCUGUGCUAAUACCACAUGUGAUCUGAGGAUGAAAGCGGGGGACCGAGCAGCAAUGUUUGGCCUCGCGCCUUUGGAGCGGCCGAUGUCGGAUUAGCUAGUUGGUGGGGUAAAGGCCUACCAAGGCGACGAUCCGUAGCUGGUCUGAGAGGACGACCAGCCACACUGGGACUGAGACACGGCCCAGACUCCUACGGGAGGCAGCAGUGGGGAAUUUUGGACAAUGGGCGCAAGCCUGAGCCAGCAAUGCCGCGUGCGGGAAGAAGGCCUUCGGGUUGUAAACCGCUUUUGGCAGGAACGAAACGGUGUCCGCUAAUACCGGGCGCUAAUGACGGUACCUGCAGAAUAAGCACCGGCUAACUACGUG